ACCAGACUCCUACGGGAGGCAGCAGUGAGGAAUAUUGGUCAAUGGGCGGAAGCCUGAACCAGCCAAGUCGCGUGAGGGAAUAAGGCCCUACGGGUCGUAAACCUCUUUUGCCGGGGAGCAAGGGCGGGGACGUGUCCCGGCCCGGAGAGUACCCGGAGAAAAAGCAUCGGCUAACUCCGUGCCAGCAGCCGCGGUAAUACGGAGGAUGCGAGCGUUAUCCGGAUUUAUUGGGUUUAAAGGGUGCGUAGGCGGAAUGUCAAGUCAGCGGUAAAAUUUCGGGGCUCAACCCCGUCGUGCCGUUGAAACUGGCGUUCUUGAGUGGAAGAGAAGUAUGCGGAAUGCGUGGUGUAGCGGUGAAAUGCAUAGAUAUCACGCAGAACCCCGAUUGCGAAGGCAGCAUGCCGGCUUCCGACUGACGCUGAAGCACGAAAGCGUGGGGAUCGAACAGGACUAGAUACCCGCGUC
RNAcentral lists this ribosomal RNA (465 nucleotides) under uncultured bacterium. RNAcentral describes it as "bacterial SSU rRNA". It matches the Rfam family "Bacterial small subunit ribosomal RNA", at positions 330 to 792 of the family's 1533-position model. The record is from RNAcentral.